GGGCACACGGCUGCCUUGCUUCUUCUUUCUACUUUUUGUAGACAAAGUACGGAUUAGUAACCUUGCAUGCCUGAAAUUGCCAAAUUUAAUCCACAGAGCCCUAAAUCCAUACACAUUACACAGUGAGAAAGCAUUACAAAAUCUUUCUUCUUGAAAUGAGAAUAGUGAUGUUUUCAUACCAGAUGAUUUAUAGCUAGUAAUUAAAGGGAUCAUUAGCAAAGACAUGUACAAAAAUUCUUAAGUCUCCCAUGAUCAGGCUGGCUUCUGAACAAGUUGAAUUGCCACUUGUAUCACCAUGUUUAGUGCACGUUGUUAUUUCAGGUAUAUGCAAGCUUUUCUUUCAACAUGCAAAAACAUCAGCUGAUCAGUUCUGCUGUCUCCCCACAUUGCUUGAGAAUGAGGCCAUCCAUACAGCUGUAUAGAGGACUUUCUCAGUUACAACUUUGGGACACUGGGAUAUCACUUACCCCAGACUUUGUUACUGGAAUGUUCUGCUCAGAGAGCACAAAGGAAGAAACAAAACAAAACUACACAAAAGCUGAUUUCAGUACUUAAUACAGAUUCAAAAAUAUGCCAUCAGUGAACAAAGCAUAGCUCCCCAUUUUGUCCCUCAGGAUUGAAUAUAUUUCGGCAACUAUCAGACUUUGCAUAUUGAGGCGAAGGAGAAAGAAGAAAAGAACUGAUGUUACAUUAUUAAUGUCACUUCAUUCCUAUUACUGUUGUUCUACUCUUUAGUCUGAAAAAAUAGUUCAGACAAGUUCAGAGCAAACCUUUGAAAAAUCAGUCUCAGCUGUGUGUCACCCUUUGGGAGAAAAAAUGGAUUUCUUUCCCGUGUGAGUUUCUUAGCUGUCAUAUUAUAUCUUCAUUUAGAAGCAUUAAAAGAUCAUUUGAAUGAUCUCUGGUCUGAUGUAUGUUUGAAGUGACCACAGAGAACAUAUAUUUUCCUGAUGAAAAUAACCUGGAAAUGAAGGUAGAGUACCUUCUAGUGAACAUUUGACAGUAAAAAAUAAAUUAAAAAAAUAAUAAUAACA
Molecule: long non-coding RNA, 1031 nt
Filed under: Coturnix japonica (Japanese quail)
Lineage: Eukaryota; Metazoa; Chordata; Aves; Galliformes; Phasianidae
Description: lncRNA (ENSCJPG00005005609.1)
Source: RNAcentral